Non-coding RNA from Pelodiscus sinensis (Chinese soft-shelled turtle), 3052 nucleotides. The record is from RefSeq and is a predicted model, not a curated record. Lineage: Eukaryota; Metazoa; Chordata; Testudines; Trionychidae.
UCGGGUGCACAGAAAUGCCCCCGCGGGCGCCAUGGCGCCCGCGGGCACCGUGUUGGCGACCACUGUGCUAUGAGCUAUCGCUGACCUGUGUGGUAGUUACAGAAUAAAGACUCUGGACGAGUCUCAGAAGAAACUCAUUCCAGCAAUGGCAUUUUCACUUCCUGGCGCGUGGGUGGAAUUAUCUCAGAGAAGUCGCGCUGAUUUUUUUUUAAUCCCCUGGAUCUUUUACAACUAAACACUUGACUCUGAAGAGUAGCCAAUUAAGGGGGACUUAUCUGCAUCCCAGUUUGCACUGAAUAGUGUGGGUCCAUAACCGUUAUUAGUGAUGUGCUCCUGUUGUGCUUGGGAACUUGUUAGCUGGAACUUCUGUAGAUUGCAAAGAUGCUAAAACAAAUCCCCUGUCCCUCUGUUGCAAUAUCUAGGUCACUUAUCAAACCAUGAUGAGGCUAAAUACACCGUAGGCCUUGGCCCCACAAGAGUUUGAAGUAUGCUACCUUCUAUAGCAAAGGUCAGAAACUGUUGUCAGGAGUGGAUAUGAGAGAUGAAAUAAUGCUAAAGAAUAACCAUUGUCUUCCUCAGUUGUCUCUGUUGCUGGGUGUGCAAGUGAUGAUAGGUGUGGAUGAAAACUGCAGCUGUGUUUGCAGAUGUUUUCAGUUGCAGAGCCUCAACUGCACUGAGCUGCGUUUGGAAUUGGCCUCCAGAGUCAUUAAUGGUCCCCUUUUUCCCUGCCAGCGCUGUUCACCCACAGUGUCCUUUGCCCAGUAGAAUAUCUGCAUCAAAAUACCGUGACUAAUCAGUAGGAUUGCUGGCCAUCUUGGUGCCUGCUUAAUGCAUAGCCUAGCCCUCAUUUCACCACGAUCUUAAUUUUAUCCUGGAAUGAGACUGUUCAUAUGCAAAAAGUUAUUCAUGUGCCGGGGUAGCUUGCUGAAUCGGGCUUUAACCAAGGCCAAACUGCCUGCUCUGUGGCGUGCGGGGCAGGCUUUGGUAUGGUAGUUUUCUGUUCCUUGUGUGUUGAGUGCUAGUGAGAGCUGUUGAACUGCCCUUUAGGAAACAGCCAUGGGAUGAAUUUUGUACAUUUCCUGGUACUAAACGCUAUUUUGGGAUGUUACGGGCAGGCCUGUGGGUGUCAGAACACAGCACAGUAGGUCUCAGAAAACUAGACCUGGCUGAUAGAGGCACAAAUCUCAUCUUCCUUAUAUGGAGCUACCUAGUGCAAGAGUGGUCUGCAGAUUGACUAGCUGUAUGGACAGAGAAGUAAAAUCCCCUUUUCCCUCAGCUUGCUGUAGCUCAGGAUUGACAGGGAUUUUAGCGAAUGAAAACCCAAGUGGGAAGGCUGUGGAGGAGAGUUUUUCUGCCCUUUAUUUUUCUGAGUAUUAGUCGGGUGUGAAGCCCCAAGUGCACACACUAUAGAGCCCUGCCUCCAGGCUGUCGCGUAUGUUGGGCUGUCACUCAAGGCUUGCAGUGUUAUUGCAGCCUGGCUGGAACAGGAGCUAGGAUCUCCUUUUUGGGGUAGGAGGAAGCAGGGAUUUCAUAGGAUGCUGCCUUGGUUGAAUGUCCUGUGAACUGUUGGAUUCCGACUUCUGCAAGCGAGAAGAAGAGCAGGGUUUCCCCAAGUCUGACUGGCUGGAAUGACUUUCGGAGAGAAUUAUUCUUAUGCAAACUGUUGGUCUUCCUCCUUAGCUAAUCACUGAAUGCGUGUAAUCUCUGUGUACAUCAUCGCAUAAAAUACCACCUCAGGCUGCACGAGCUUUAUAAGCUUGUCACAGAUUUCUAGAGCGCCAGAAGCGCUUCCUUAAGUCCAUGAAAAUCCACAUUGCUAUGACACAUGGGACAGCGGUUUACCAGCAGAGAGCGCAGAGGUGGUGCAGCGUUCCCCUAUUGAGGCUUGCUGAUGGCUGUAGUGUGAGGCCACUUACGGCAUGUUUGAGGUGGUGGAAGGGGCUGCGUGAGGCUAGAAAAUGGAAAGUUUCUUUGGGGGACAGCUCUGCUGCAGCGGCUUGUAUUGGGGUGGGGAAGCUUACGGUUUCGAUUUCCUUUGCAUCUGCUUGCGUUUGGAUCAAACCAAACAAUGCGUGGAUAACAGCUGUUGGACGUGCGCUUGUCUUCUAGCAUCUGUGGCUGCGUUGGGGGACGCAGGCUGCUUGGCAGCUUUAUACUGAAGAACAGGCGUGACGCGUUAAGAUGAUCUAAUUGAAGGACUCCCUAUUCCAUUAUAUAGUGGGCAACCUUACCCUUGCAGCUGCCAGGGCUCGUAUAACGGUUGCAGUCUUCUGUCCCUUCACCCAGGUGGGCAAGCGGAGAGGUGGCAACAAACUAGCCCUGAAGACAGGAGUGGUAGCAAAGAAGCAAAAGACCGAGGAGGAGGUUUUGACUAGUAAAGGAGAUGCCUGGGCCAAAUACAUGGCAGAAGUGAAAAAAUACAAAGCCCACCAGUGUAGUGAUGACGACAAAACAAGACCCCUUGUUAAAUAGCCCCUCUCUGCUGGCUCCCGUGAGGACGCUUUGUUGUACAUACUUAUUUAAAACAGCAAGGGAGGGUAGCUAGUCACUGCGAACUUAAAACAGCCGUUUCUAGCACUGGCUCCCAUGGAUGGUUCCACAGAUGAUUUUUAUAUACCCAGGCACACUGAAACUUUCAUUAGUCUGUCGUUUACUUAGUUUUGUUUUUUUUUGUUGAUUCCUUCUGGGAAAUACGGACUCUGAAUUAGUUGUAGCUUUUCUUUUUUUAAAGAAUCCGGAAUAGUGGAAUCCCUACAAUGUUGUAUAUUUCCCUGGCUGUUAAAACAAUCUAAUCACCAGCUCUUGCGUGUGAUACAACUCACUUCCACGUCCGUACACAACCAAGAACCUGUCUUACCACUGCUGCUCUUCCCUCUCUCCCACUGAGGACUCCAGCCGUCUCAGCAAGUUGAGCUGCGUACUAGCUAACUUCUUUGAGUAGAAACUGUAGGCGGUAGAUGGUGGGCGUCAAACUCCAUUAUUAAAGGUAAAUGUGGAAGUGGGUGCUGCAGUUACAUUUACUCAUUAAAGACCUUGGAUAUUUUUAAGCUGC